RNAcentral lists this ribosomal RNA (2931 nucleotides) under Escherichia coli. Its description in RNAcentral is "23S ribosomal RNA". It matches the Rfam family "Bacterial large subunit ribosomal RNA". The record is from RNAcentral. Lineage: Bacteria; Pseudomonadati; Pseudomonadota; Gammaproteobacteria; Enterobacterales; Enterobacteriaceae.
GGGUUGUGAGGUUAAGCGACUAAGCGUACACGGUGGAUGCCCUGGCAGUCAGAGGCGAUGAAGGACGUGCUAAUCUGCGAUAAGCGUCGGUAAGGUGAUAUGAACCGUUAUAACCGGCGAUUUCCGAAUGGGGAAACCCAGUGUGUUUCGACACACUAUCAUUAACUGAAUCCAUAGGUUAAUGAGGCGAACCGGGGGAACUGAAACAUCUAAGUACCCCGAGGAAAAGAAAUCAACCGAGAUUCCCCCAGUAGCGGCGAGCGAACGGGGAGCAGCCCAGAGCCUGAAUCAGUGUGUGUGUUAGUGGAAGCGUCUGGAAAGGCGCGCGAUACAGGGUGACAGCCCCGUACACAAAAAUGCACAUGCUGUGAGCUCGAUGAGUAGGGCGGGACACGUGGUAUCCUGUCUGAAUAUGGGGGGACCAUCCUCCAAGGCUAAAUACUCCUGACUGACCGAUAGUGAACCAGUACCGUGAGGGAAAGGCGAAAAGAACCCCGGCGAGGGGAGUGAAAAAGAACCUGAAACCGUGUACGUACAAGCAGUGGGAGCACGCUUAGGCGUGUGACUGCGUACCUUUUGUAUAAUGGGUCAGCGACUUAUAUUCUGUAGCAAGGUUAACCGAAUAGGGGAGCCGAAGGGAAACCGAGUCUUAACUGGGCGUUAAGUUGCAGGGUAUAGACCCGAAACCCGGUGAUCUAGCCAUGGGCAGGUUGAAGGUUGGGUAACACUAACUGGAGGACCGAACCGACUAAUGUUGAAAAAUUAGCGGAUGACUUGUGGCUGGGGGUGAAAGGCCAAUCAAACCGGGAGAUAGCUGGUUCUCCCCGAAAGCUAUUUAGGUAGCGCCUCGUGAAUUCAUCUCCGGGGGUAGAGCACUGUUUCGGCAAGGGGGUCAUCCCGACUUACCAACCCGAUGCAAACUGCGAAUACCGGAGAAUGUUAUCACGGGAGACACACGGCGGGUGCUAACGUCCGUCGUGAAGAGGGAAACAACCCAGACCGCCAGCUAAGGUCCCAAAGUCAUGGUUAAGUGGGAAACGAUGUGGGAAGGCCCAGACAGCCAGGAUGUUGGCUUAGAAGCAGCCAUCAUUUAAAGAAAGCGUAAUAGCUCACUGGUCGAGUCGGCCUGCGCGGAAGAUGUAACGGGGCUAAACCAUGCACCGAAGCUGCGGCAGCGACGCUGAUGCGUUGUUGGGUAGGGGAGCGUUCUGUAAGCCUGCGAAGGUGUGCUGUGAGGCAUGCUGGAGGUAUCAGAAGUGCGAAUGCUGACAUAAGUAACGAUAAAGCGGGUGAAAAGCCCGCUCGCCGGAAGACCAAGGGUUCCUGUCCAACGUUAAUCGGGGCAGGGUGAGUCGACCCCUAAGGCGAGGCCGAAAGGCGUAGUCGAUGGGAAACAGGUUAAUAUUCCUGUACUUGGUGUUACUGCGAAGGGGGGACGGAGAAGGCUAUGUUGGCCGGGCGACGGUUGUCCCGGUUUAAGCGUGUAGGCUGGUUUUCCAGGCAAAUCCGGAAAAUCAAGGCUGAGGCGUGAUGACGAGGCACUACGGUGCUGAAGCAACAAAUGCCCUGCUUCCAGGAAAAGCCUCUAAGCAUCAGGUAACAUCAAAUCGUACCCCAAACCGACACAGGUGGUCAGGUAGAGAAUACCAAGGCGCUUGAGAGAACUCGGGUGAAGGAACUAGGCAAAAUGGUGCCGUAACUUCGGGAGAAGGCACGCUGAUAUGUAGGUGAGGUCCCUUGCGGAUGGAGCUGAAAUCAGUCGAAGAUACCAGCUGGCUGCAACUGUUUAUUAAAAACACAGCACUGUGCAAACACGAAAGUGGACGUAUACGGUGUGACGCCUGCCCGGUGCCGGAAGGUUAAUUGAUGGGGUCAGCGCAAGCGAAGCUCUUGAUCGAAGCCCCGGUAAACGGCGGCCGUAACUAUAACGGUCCUAAGGUAGCGAAAUUCCUUGUCGGGUAAGUUCCGACCUGCACGAAUGGCGUAAUGAUGGCCAGGCUGUCUCCACCCGAGACUCAGUGAAAUUGAACUCGCUGUGAAGAUGCAGUGUACCCGCGGCAAGACGGAAAGACCCCGUGAACCUUUACUAUAGCUUGACACUGAACAUUGAGCCUUGAUGUGUAGGAUAGGUGGGAGGCUUUGAAGUGUGGACGCCAGUCUGCAUGGAGCCGACCUUGAAAUACCACCCUUUAAUGUUUGAUGUUCUAACGUUGACCCGUAAUCCGGGUUGCGGACAGUGUCUGGUGGGUAGUUUGACUGGGGCGGUCUCCUCCUAAAGAGUAACGGAGGAGCACGAAGGUUGGCUAAUCCUGGUCGGACAUCAGGAGGUUAGUGCAAUGGCAUAAGCCAGCUUGACUGCGAGCGUGACGGCGCGAGCAGGUGCGAAAGCAGGUCAUAGUGAUCCGGUGGUUCUGAAUGGAAGGGCCAUCGCUCAACGGAUAAAAGGUACUCCGGGGAUAACAGGCUGAUACCGCCCAAGAGUUCAUAUCGACGGCGGUGUUUGGCACCUCGAUGUCGGCUCAUCACAUCCUGGGGCUGAAGUAGGUCCCAAGGGUAUGGCUGUUCGCCAUUUAAAGUGGUACGCGAGCUGGGUUUAGAACGUCGUGAGACAGUUCGGUCCCUAUCUGCCGUGGGCGCUGGAGAACUGAGGGGGGCUGCUCCUAGUACGAGAGGACCGGAGUGGACGCAUCACUGGUGUUCGGGUUGUCAUGCCAAUGGCACUGCCCGGUAGCUAAAUGCGGAAGAGAUAAGUGCUGAAAGCAUCUAAGCACGAAACUUGCCCCGAGAUGAGUUCUCCCUGACUCCUUGAGAGUCCUGAAGGAACGUUGAAGACGACGACGUUGAUAGGCCGGGUGUGUAAGCGCAGCGAUGCGUUGAGCUAACCGGUACUAAUGAACCGUGAGGCUUAACCUUACAACGCCGAAGGUGUUU